UCAAGCGAAUAAGCGCACACGGUGGAUGCCUUGGCGGUCAGAGGCGAUGAAGGACGUGGCAGCCUGCGAAAAGUAUCGGGGAGCUGGCAACAAGCUUUGAUCCGGUAAUGUCCGAAUGGGGAAACCCACCCGCUUGCGGGUAUCCUGCAGUGAAUACAUAGCUGCUGGAAGCGAACCUGGUGAACUGAAAUAUCUAAGUAACCAGAGGAAAAGAAAUCAACCGAGAUUCCGUAAGUAGCGACGAGCGAACGCGGACUAGCCCUUAAGCUGGAUUGGUUCUAGGAAAACGCUCUGGAAAGAGCGGCCAUAGAAGGUGAUAGCCCUGUAUCUGAAAGGGCCAUUCCAGUGAAGACGAGUAGGGCGGGGCACGUGAAACCCUGUCUGAACAUGGGGGGACCAUCCUCCAAGGCUAAAUACUACUGACCGACCGAUAGUGAACCAGUACCGUGAGGGAAAGGCGAAAAGAACCCCGGAGAGGGGAGUGAAAUAGAACCUGAAACCGUGUGCGUACAAGCAGUAGGAGCUCCGCAAGGAGUGACUGCGUACCUUUUGUAUAAUGGGUCAGCGACUUACUGUUCGUGGCAAGCUUAACCGUAUAGGGGAGGCGAAGGGAAACCGAGUCUGAUAAGGGCGCAUAGUCGCGGGCAGUAGACCCGAAACCGGGUGAUCUAGUCAUGCCCAGGGUGAAGGUGCGGUAACACGCACUGGAGGCCCGAACCCACUCCCGUUGCAAAGGUAGGGGAUGAGGUGUGAUUAGGAGUGAAAAGCUAAUCGAACCCGGAGAUAGCUGGUUCUCCUCGAAAGCUAUUUAGGUAGCGCCUCAUAUGUAUCCUCUCGGGGGUAGAGCACUGUUAUGGCUAGGGGGUCAUCGCGACUUACCAAACCAUUGCAAACUCCGAAUACCGAGACGGACUGUAUGGGAGACACACGGCGGGUGCUAACGUCCGUCGUGAAAAGGGAAACAACCCAGACCCACAGCUAAGGUCCCAAAUUUUGUGCUAAGUGGAAAACCAUGUGGAAAGGCACAGACAGCCAGGAGGUUGGCUUAGAAGCAGCCACCCUUUAAAGAAAGCGUAAUAGCUCACUGGUCGAGUCGGUCUGCGGGGAAGAUUUAACGGGGCUAAGCACAGAACCGAAGCUUGGGGUGCAUAACUUUGUUAUGCGCGGUAGAGGAGCGUUCCGUAAGCCGUUGAAGGUGGAUUGAGAAGUCUGCUGGAGGUAUCGGAAGUGCGAAUGCUGACAUGAGUAACGAUAAUGCGGGUGAAAAACCCGCACGCCGAAAGCCCAAGGUUUCCUUGCGCAACGUUAAUCGGCGCAGGGUGAGUCGGCCCCUAAGGCGAGGACGAAAGUCGUAGUCGAUGGGAAGCAGGUUAAUAUUCCUGCACCUCGCGUAAGUGCGAUGGAGGGACGGAGAAGGUUAGGUGUACCAGGCGUUGGUUGUCCUGGGGAAAGGCGGUAGGUUUGGAUCUUUGGCAAAUCCGGGAUCCUCUAAGACCGAGCACCGAGACGAGCCUUUAUGGCGAAGUCACUGAUACCACGCUUCCAGGAAAAGCUCCUAAGCUUCAGCUUACGCAGACCGUACCGUAAACCGACACAGGUGGGUAGGAUGAGAAUUCUCAGGCGCUUGAGAGAACUCGGGUGAAGGAACUAGGCAACAUGGCACCGUAACUUCGGGAGAAGGUGCACCCUUUUUGGUGGCUCGUGCGAGCUAUAGCUGAAGAGGGUCGCAGUAACCAGGCCGCUGCGACUGUUUAUCAAAAACACAGCACUCUGCAAACACGAAAGUGGACGUAUAGGGUGUGACGCCUGCCCGGUGCUGGAAGGUUAAUUGAUGGGGUCAGCCGCAAGGCGAAGCUCUUGAUCGAAGCCCCAGUAAACGGCGGCCGUAACUAUAACGGUCCUAAGGUAGCGAAAUUCCUUGUCGGGUAAGUUCCGACCUGCACGAAUGGCGUAACGACAGCGGCGCUGUCUCCACCCGAGACUCAGUGAAAUUGAAAUCGCUGUGAAGAUGCAGCGUUCCCGUGGCAAGACGGAAAGACCCCGUGAACCUUUACUAUAGCUUUACACUGAACGUUGAGUUCGUCUGUGUAGGAUAGGUGGGAGGCUAUGAAACUGUGGCGCUAGCUGCAGCGGAGCCAUCCUUGAAAUACCACCCUGUCGUGCUUGACGUUCUAACCUGGGCCCAUUAUCUGGGUCGGGGACCGUGUAUGGUGGGUAGUUUGACUGGGGCGGUCUCCUCCUAAAGAGUAACGGAGGAGCUCGAAGGUACGCUCAGCGCGGUCGGACAUCGCGCACUGUGUGCAAAGGCAUAAGCGUGCUUGACUGCAAGAUCGACGGAUCAAGCAGGUAGGAAACUAGGACUUAGUGAUCCGGUGGUUCUGUAUGGAAGGGCCAUCGCUCAACGGAUAAAAGGUACUCCGGGGAUAACAGGCUGAUACCGCCCAAGAGUUCAUAUCGACGGCGGUGUUUGGCACCUCGAUGUCGGCUCAUCACAUCCUGGGGCUGUAGUCGGUCCCAAGGGUAUGGCUGUUCGCCAUUUAAAGUGGUACGCGAGCUGGGUUCAGAACGUCGUGAGACAGUUCGGUCCCUAUCUGCCAUGGGCGUUGGAGAUUUGAGAGGGGCUGCUCCUAGUACGAGAGGACCGGAGUGGACGAACCUCUGGUGUUCCGGUUGUCACGCCAGUGGCAUUGCCGGGUAGCUAUGUUCGGAAGCGAUAACCGCUGAAAGCAUCUAAGCGGGAAGCGCGCCUCAAGAUGAGAUCUCCCGGGGCACAAGCCCCCUGAAGGAACCAUGUAGACUACGUGGUUGAUAGGUCAGGUGUGUAAGUACAGCAAUGUAUUGAGCUAACUGAUACUAAUGAUCCGUGCGGCUUGACCAU
This 2878-nucleotide ribosomal RNA is filed under the name Stenotrophomonas maltophilia. Its description in RNAcentral is "bacterial LSU rRNA". It matches the Rfam family "Bacterial large subunit ribosomal RNA". The record is from RNAcentral. Lineage: Bacteria; Pseudomonadati; Pseudomonadota; Gammaproteobacteria; Lysobacterales; Lysobacteraceae.